UCCGCUGCGGGGCAGCCGCGGCGGGAGGGCGGCAGACGGGGCUGGGAGCGGCGGUGCGCCAGGCCGCGGGCUUGGCGUGCAGCACCCGAGUUAGCACUGAAGGCAGAGCCGCUCCCGGCUGCGUGCCAGGCUUCCCCUGCUGCCGGCUCACUUUUAAGCCCACACGGUGAAACACAAUUGUUUUCGGGUGGAAAAAUAACCAUCAUUUUCUCAGGGUGAUCAUUUCUUUCCCUGGUUCCUCACAGCGCCUUGCAAAUCCUCCGACUAACAGUAAAGAGGGCAGCACAGGGAUACAACGAAAAACAAGGCUGCUUAAACCUUGUGUUUUGUCCAAGAAGGAAAAAAAAGUAGAAGAUCAUCGUUUCUGAGGGGGGGUUAUUAGCAGGGAAGCCUGUGUGCCUGAAGGUGCCGCGCAGGUGGCCCUAGCGCGCAGCUGCCUGCCGUCGGCAGCCCAGGCGUGCCCGCGCUGCCGGAGCAGGCCGCGGUGAGGGGGGAGCGCCUCGAACCCCUUCCCCACGUCCCUUCGCCAGGGCUCGGGAUUUACGGUGUUCGAGAUGGGGCUGGGAAGAGACGUUGCUACGGAGAGGAGAGAUAGUGUUUGGUUUCAGACACGGGCAGAUCUGACUUAAUUUCCCAAUCCUGCGUUGUAUUUCCUGUGUGAUCUUUUGGGUUCUUCACCAGCUCACUGACUCUGUGUUCCCUGCUUUUGUCCGUAGAAAUCUUUCACGGAGGGGCUGGGAGCUCUGCCUGUCAGUACGUAACAAGAUGUCCAUGUUGCAAAGGUGAGGCCAUGGGAGAUGCAGCGUGUACUGAAAACGCAACCAGACCCUGCUCCUCCUUCAGAUCGUCCUUAGAAAUCCCGUGGAACCAAGGCACGCCAGCAAGGCCUCCUUUGUCAGGAUCCGAGCUGCUACAGGACACCAACUGAACUAAUCCAAAGAGAAACCCCUGCAGUGGUUUUACGAUGAACUGAGCUUUUCACUCAUCGAGACUCUUCCCCUCUUCGGCAGCAUUUGUUAUGUUCCCAGGUGACCGCACAAAUGUUUGUGUCAGCACAACAGAGAACAGCAGCCUGGGGGCAAGAGCAAGAAGACGGAGGCUCCAGUGCAGGGGAGUUUUGAAGUGAAAUACAAUGCAGAACAGAGUGUGAAGAGUGGUGGCUCCUGCAGGCAUCUGGAAACCUGGAUCACAAUCAAAAAGUGACAUAAUUC
Molecule: long non-coding RNA, 1211 nt
Organism: Dromaius novaehollandiae (emu)
Lineage: Eukaryota; Metazoa; Chordata; Aves; Casuariiformes; Dromaiidae
Exons: 4
Source: RefSeq, a predicted model, not a curated record